GAUCCACCUCAGAUGGAUCUGACCCUGGGCAGCGGAGUGUGGCUGGGUCAGCAUAGCCAUAAGCACGGCUUCUUCAAGGGUACCAUUCAGGAUGUCAAACUAAUUUUUGCUCCAAACGGCUACAUCACACAAUGUCCCAACCUUAAUCGCACCUGUCCGACAUGCAGUGAUUUCCUGAGCCUGGUGCAAGGCAUCAUGGACCUUCAGGAGUUGCUGGCCAAGAUGACCCUGAAG
This is a non-coding RNA of Salvelinus sp. IW2-2015, 234 nucleotides long. The record is from RefSeq and is a predicted model, not a curated record. NCBI's taxonomy places the organism in Eukaryota, Metazoa, Chordata, Actinopteri, Salmoniformes, Salmonidae.